This 492-nucleotide ribosomal RNA is filed under the name uncultured bacterium. RNAcentral describes it as "partial 16S ribosomal RNA". It matches the Rfam family "Bacterial small subunit ribosomal RNA", at positions 29 to 507 of the family's 1533-position model. The record is from RNAcentral.
AGUGAACGCUGGCGGUAGGCCUAAUACAUGCAAGUCGAACGGCAGCACAGUAAGAGCUUGCUCUUACUGGUGGCGAGUGGCGGACGGGUGAGGAAUACAUCGGAAUCUACUUUUUCGUGGGGGAUAACGUAGGGAAACUGACGCUAAUACCGCAUACUACCUACGGGUGAAAGCAGGAGAUCUUCGGACCUUGCGCGAUUGAAUUAGCUGAUGUCGGAUUAGCUAGUUGGCUGGGUAAAGGCCCACCAAGGCGACGAUCCGUAGCUGGUCUGAGAGGAUGAUCAGCCACACUGGAACUGAGACACGGUCCAGACUCCUACGGGAGGCAGCAGUGGGGAAUCUUGGACAAUGGGCGAAAGCCUGAUCCAGCAAUACCGCGUGGGUGAAGAAGGCCUUCGGGUUGUAAAGCCCUUUUGUUGGGAAAGAAAAGCAGCAGGUUAAUCCCCCGAUGUUCUGACGGUACCCAAAGAAUAAGCACCGGCUAACUUCGUG